UCAGCUCGUGUCGUGAGAUGUUGGGUUAAGUCCCGCAACGAGCGCAACCCUUGUCUUUAGUUACCAUCAUUCAGUUGGGGACUCUAGAGAGACUGCCGGUGAUAAACCGGAGGAAGGUGGGGAUGACGUCAAAUCAUCAUGCCCCUUAUGACCUGGGCUACACACGUACUACAAUGGCGCAUACAACGAAGCUGCGAGAUGGUGACAUCAAGCGAAUCUCUUAAAAUGCGUCUCAGUUCAGAUUGGAGUCUGCAACUCGACUCCAUGAAGUUGGAAUCGCUAGUAAUCGCAGAUCAGCACGCUGCGGUGAAUACGUUCCCGGGCCUU
Molecule: ribosomal RNA, 327 nt
Filed under: uncultured Erysipelothrix sp.
Lineage: Bacteria; Bacillati; Bacillota; Erysipelotrichia; Erysipelotrichales; Erysipelotrichaceae
Description: bacterial SSU rRNA
Rfam family: Bacterial small subunit ribosomal RNA
Source: RNAcentral